UGACCACGGAGGUUAAAGUUAUCAACUAGUGAAUGAAUCCUAUGUUGCGUUAAACUGCCUUAAUACCAUGAUAGAAUAAUUUUAUUUGAUAGAUAAUACAUACUACAUUGGAUAACUGUAGUAAUUCCAGAGCUAAUACAUGCAAGUAUGCCUUGACUCUCAGGCUAUCUGUGGCAUUCACUGGAAUAAAACCAAAAGGAAGCGAUUUCAGCCGCCUCUUUUUUAUUCUGUGAUGACUUUGAAUAAUUUCAAUGAUCACAAUUGGAAGUUCCUGUUGUAUCAGUCUGCUAGUAGGUUACCCGUCUACUAAGAUAAUAGUAGGUAUUGGAGAAUCACGGUUUGAUUCCGGAGAGGAAGUCUGAGAAUUGACUACCACAUGCAAGAACAGAGAGAAAGUGACGGAAGAUACGUAUACUCGACUCCGUUAACUCACUGUAAUUCAAAAAGGUACACUUUAAACCCUUUUGACAAGAACCAGCUGGAGCGCAAGCCCGGAGCUAGCAGCCGAUGUAACUUCAACACCAA
Molecule: non-coding RNA, 525 nt
Filed under: Trichobilharzia regenti
Lineage: Eukaryota; Metazoa; Platyhelminthes; Trematoda; Strigeidida; Schistosomatidae
Description: Eukaryotic small subunit ribosomal RNA
Rfam family: Eukaryotic small subunit ribosomal RNA
Source: Rfam by way of RNAcentral